GUGCCAGCCGCCGCGGUAAUACAGAGAGUGCGAACGUUGUUCGGAAUCACUGGGCAUAAAGCGCACGUAGGCGGCACCUCAAGUGCGGAGUGAAAUCCCACGGCUUACCCGUGGAACUGCUUCGCAGACUGUGGUGCUCGAGGAUGGUAGGGGAGAGCGGAACUCCUGGUGGAGCGGUGAAAUGCGUAGAGAUCAGGAGGAACACCGGUGGCGAAGGCGGCUCUCUGGUCCAUUCCUGACGCUGAGGUGCGAAAGCCAGGGGAGCAAACGGGAUUAGAAACCCGGGUAGUCC
This 292-nucleotide ribosomal RNA is filed under the name uncultured bacterium. Its description in RNAcentral is "partial 16S ribosomal RNA". It matches the Rfam family "Bacterial small subunit ribosomal RNA", at positions 505 to 796 of the family's 1533-position model. The record is from RNAcentral.